RNAcentral lists this ribosomal RNA (215 nucleotides) under Campeiostachys nutans. RNAcentral's name for it is "Elymus nutans partial small subunit ribosomal RNA". The stretch from base 46 to 215 matches the Rfam family "Eukaryotic small subunit ribosomal RNA", at positions 693 to 864 of the family's 1831-position model. Lineage: Eukaryota; Viridiplantae; Streptophyta; Magnoliopsida; Poales; Poaceae. The record is from RNAcentral.
AGACCGGUCUACUGGUCGUGCUUUUGUACGUACUGGUUUUAUUGGUUUCUCCUUUCUGACGAACUAUAAUGCCAUUAAUUUGGUGUUAUGGGGAAUCAGGACUGUUACUUUGAAAAAAUUAGAGUGUUUAAAGCAGGCUCACGCUUGAAUACAUUAGCAUGGAAUAAUGAAAUAGGACGUUUGAUUCUAUUUUGUUGGUUUCUAGGAUCGACGUA